ACACUCGCCGCACAGGUGGAUAGCGAGAACNCGUCUAAUACCGCAUGACGCGGGAGAGGCGCAUGCCCUUUCCGCCAAAGGAGGCGACUCCGGUGCCGGCUGGGCACGCGUGACAUUAGCUAGUUGGCGGGGCGACGGCCCACCAAGGCGACGAUGUCUAGGGGUUCUGAGAGGAAGGUCCCCCACACUGGUACUGAGACACGGACCAGACUCCUACGGAAGGCAGCAG
Molecule: ribosomal RNA, 229 nt
Filed under: uncultured bacterium
Lineage: Bacteria
Description: partial 16S ribosomal RNA
Rfam family: Bacterial small subunit ribosomal RNA
Source: RNAcentral